This 447-nucleotide ribosomal RNA is filed under the name Streptococcus gordonii. Its description in RNAcentral is "bacterial SSU rRNA". It matches the Rfam family "Bacterial small subunit ribosomal RNA", at positions 43 to 466 of the family's 1533-position model. The record is from RNAcentral. Lineage: Bacteria; Bacillati; Bacillota; Bacilli; Lactobacillales; Streptococcaceae.
CGUGCCUAAUACAUGCAAGUAGAACGCACAGUUUAUACCGUAGCUUGCUACACCAUAGACUGUGAGUUGCGAACGGGUGAGUAACGCGUAGGUAACCUGCCUGGUAGCGGGGGAUAACUAUUGGAAACGAUAGCUAAUACCGCAUAAUAUUAAUUAUUGCAUGAUAAUUGAUUGAAAGGUGCAAUUGCACCACUACCAGAUGGACCUGCGUUGUAUUAGCUAGUAGGUGAGGUAACGGCUCACCUAGGCGACGAUACAUAGCCGACCUGAGAGGGUGAUCGGCCACACUGGGACUGAGACACGGCCCAGACUCCUACGGGAGGCAGCAGUAGGGAAUCUUCGGCAAUGGACGAAAGUCUGACCGAGCAACGCCGCGUGAGUGAAGAAGGUUUUCGGAUCGUAAAGCUCUGUUGUAAGAGAAGAACGGGUGUGAGAGUGGAAAGUUCA